This 688-nucleotide ribosomal RNA is filed under the name Prevotella intermedia. RNAcentral describes it as "bacterial SSU rRNA". It matches the Rfam family "Bacterial small subunit ribosomal RNA", at positions 385 to 1075 of the family's 1533-position model. Lineage: Bacteria; Pseudomonadati; Bacteroidota; Bacteroidia; Bacteroidales; Prevotellaceae. The record is from RNAcentral.
GAACCAGCCAAGUAGCGUGCAGGAUUGACGGCCCUAUGGGUUGUAAACUGCUUUUGUUGGGGAGUAAAGUGAGGCACGCGUGCCUUUUUGCAUUUACCCUUCGAAUAAGGACCGGCUAAUUCCGUGCCAGCAGCCGCGGUAAUACGGAAGUCCAGGAGUUAUCUGGAUUUAUUGGGUUUAAAGGGAGUGUAGGCGGUCUGUUAAGCGUGUUGUGAAAUUUAGGUGCUCAACAUCUAACUUGCAGCGCGAACUGGCGGACUUGAGUGCACGCAACGUAUGCGGAAUUCAUGGUGUAGCGGUGAAAUGCUUAGAUAUCAUGACGAACUCCGAUUGCGAAGGCAGCGUACGGGAGUGCUACUGACGCUUAAGCUCGAAGGUGCGGGUAUCGAACAGGAUUAGAUACCCUGGUAGUCCGCACGGUAAACGAUGGAUGCCCGCUGUUAGCGCCUGGCGUUAGCGGCUAAGCGAAAGCAUUAAGCAUCCCACCUGGGGAGUACGCCGGCAACGGUGAAACUCAAAGGAAUUGACGGGGGCCCGCACAAGCGGAAGAACAUGUGGUUUAAUUCGAUGAUACGCGAGGAACCUUACCCGGGCUUGAAUUGCAGACGCAGGAUACAGAGAUGUUGACUCCCUUCGGGGCGUCUGUGAAGGUGCUGCAUGGUUGUCGUCAGCUCGUGCCGUGAGGUGU